This 426-nucleotide ribosomal RNA is filed under the name uncultured prokaryote. RNAcentral describes it as "bacterial SSU rRNA". It matches the Rfam family "Bacterial small subunit ribosomal RNA", at positions 355 to 796 of the family's 1533-position model. The record is from RNAcentral.
UGGGGAAUUUUCCGCAAUGGGGGGAACCCUGACGGAGCAACGCCGCGUGCGGGAGGACGGCCUGUGGGUUGUAAACCGCUUUUCUCUAGGAAGAAGGUCUGACGGUACUAGAGGAAUCAGCAUCGGCUAACUCCGUGCCAGCAGCCGCGGUAAGACGGAGGAUGCAAGCGUUAUCCGGAAUUAUUGGGCGUAAAGCGUCCGUAGGCGGUUCAUCAAGUCAGUUGUUAAAGACUGCAGCUCAACUGUGGGCGAGCAACUGAAACUGAUGAACUAGAGUGCGGUAGGGGUAGAGGGAAUUCCCAGUGUAGCGGUGAAAUGCGUAGAUAUUGGGAAGAACACCAGUGGCGAAGGCGCUCUACUGGGCCGCAACUGACGCUGAGGGACGAAAGCUAGGGGAGCGAAAGGGAUUAGAUACCCCCGUAGUCC